RNAcentral lists this unclassified non-coding RNA (200 nucleotides) under Inocybe sp. RNAcentral describes it as "partial internal transcribed spacer 2". Lineage: Eukaryota; Fungi; Basidiomycota; Agaricomycetes; Agaricales; Inocybaceae. The record is from RNAcentral.
UUAAGUUCAGCGGGUGGUCCUACCUGAUUUGAGGUCAAGUCAAAUGAAAUCCAAUCCGAUCCAAUCCAAUCUGGCAAACGUAAACGACCCUCGGAUGCAGAUAGAGUUAUCACACCCAACAAAGAGGCCUUUUAUUUCGCUCAUGUAUUUCAGGGGAGCACACCUCAAAAGAAAAGGCCUGCAAAAAAUAAAACCCCCAC